RNAcentral lists this transfer RNA (72 nucleotides) under Pangasianodon hypophthalmus (striped catfish). Its description in RNAcentral is "tRNA-His". It matches the Rfam family "tRNA". Rfam says of the family: Transfer RNA (tRNA) molecules are approximately 80 nucleotides in length. Their secondary structure includes four short double-helical elements and three loops (D, anti-codon, and T loops). Lineage: Eukaryota; Metazoa; Chordata; Actinopteri; Siluriformes; Pangasiidae. The record is from RNAcentral.
GUUGCGAUUGUAUAGUGGUUAGUACUCUGUGUUGUGGCUGCAGCAACCCCAGUUCCAAUCUGGGUCAUGGCA